This 122-nucleotide ribosomal RNA is filed under the name Corynebacterium durum. Lineage: Bacteria; Bacillati; Actinomycetota; Actinomycetes; Mycobacteriales; Corynebacteriaceae. The record is from RNAcentral.
GUGUUGGUGGUGAUAGUCGCAGGGUCACGCCCGGUUGUCCUUUUCGAACCCGGUUGCUAAGUCUGUGGGCGCUGAUGGUACUGCACCUGGGAGGGUGUGGGAGAGUAGGUUACUGCCAGCAU